Long non-coding RNA from Piliocolobus tephrosceles (Ugandan red Colobus), 328 nucleotides. RefSeq lists it as uncharacterized. The record is from RefSeq and is a predicted model, not a curated record. Lineage: Eukaryota; Metazoa; Chordata; Mammalia; Primates; Cercopithecidae. The transcript is spliced from 4 exons.
GUGCCUCAGCCUCCUGAGUAGCUUGGAUUACAGGGCACAGGAGCUCAGAGACACUGACUCGCUUGAAGUCACUCAGCUUGGUGUGGAACCUGAGUCCCACCCUCUUAAAACCUUGAAAAUAAAGUUGCUUCCCAAAUGUUCACAUCUCCAGCCUGCCAGCUUUCCCAGAUACUGAGGGAACAGAGAAACAACUGCUCCUUUGGCUUCUAACUCCACCUGACAGUCGGCAUGGGUGCUGUGCAGGGCACCAGGAUGCAGAGCCGUCUCAGCAAAAAUCACAGAGACAGGGUCUUGCAAUAUUGUCCAGGCUGGUCUCCAACUCCUGGCC